UGUUGAAGAUUAAGCCAUGCAUGUGUAAGUAUAAAGACCUAGUAGGAUGAAACUGCGGACGGCUCAUUACAACAGUUAUAGUUUCUUUGGUUAGUACGAAAAGGAUAACUCUGUUAAUUGUAGAGCUAAUACUUGAGACACUCCACUUUCCUUCGGGAUUGUGGCGACCACACCUCGGUGCGGUUAAGAAUUAUUCCAUUCUGAAUGCUGGAAUAAGGACAAUUGUAGAAUCCUACGGAUUUUAACUAACAAGUAACCAAUGAGAAUUUCUGACUUAUCAACCAGUAGGUAAGGUAGUGGCUUACCUUGGUGAUCACGAGUAACGAGAAAUAAGGGUUUGACAUCGGAGAGGGAGCCUUAAAAAUGGCUACCACUUCCAAGGAAGGCAGCAGGCGCGAAAAUUACCCACUUGGGACACCCAGAGGUAGUGAAGACAAAUAACUAAAUGCUGUCCACUGGAUAGCGUUUAAGGGAUGAGCUAGACGUUAACACUCUAGCGAAAGCGAUUGGAGGGCAAGUCUGGUGCCAGCAGCCGCGGUAAUUCCAGCUCCAAUAGUGUAUAUUAAAGUUGUUGUGAUUAAAAAGCUCGUAGUUGAAUUCGACAAGAACUUUGGCGCUGUUUCUCCCUCGGGAGCGACAGUGGUCAAGUAUAGUUCUAAACACCUUCAGUCACUCUUUUCGGAGGGUGAGUGGAGAUAUUUACUUUGAAUAAAUAUGAGUGUUUAAAGCAAAGCAAAAGCUAAUAAAAUAUGAAGCAUGGGAUAAUAGAGAGGAGAUACCCACACCAACCACAUUGUGAUUGGCGGGUAUUUCUAGAUAAGGAUUAAUAGAAAGAGAUGGGGUGAUUUAUACGGAAAUGGGAGAGGUGAAAAUCCAUGAUCAUUUUAGGAUAAACUGAAGCGAAAGCAUUUCACUUAAAUCUGUUCAUUAAUCAAGAACGAAAGUUAGGGGAUCGAAGACGAUUAGAUACCGUCGUAGUCCUAACUAUAAACGAUGUCAACGAAGGAUUGGAUUGAACCUUUACCACACUGUCUCGACAGAGUGGUAGUAUACUUCAGUUCAGGACUUUAGGGGAAACCUAUAGUUAAUGGACUUCAGGGGGAGUAUGCUCGCAAGGGUGAAACUUAAAGGAAUUGACGGAAGGGCACACCAGGAGUGGAGCCUGCGGCUUAAUUUGACUCAACACGGGAAAACUUACCAAGACCAGACAUUAAGAGGAGUGACAGAGUAAGGGAACUUUCAUGAUUUGAUGGAGAGUGGUGCAUGGCCGUUCUUAGUUGGUGGAGUGAUUUGUCAGGUUUAUUCCGAUAACGAACGAGACUUCAAUCUUUAAUUAGAUUACGCAGCGCUGGUUGCGCAAGUCAGCAAUGACCCUCAAACGAGGUCUUCUUAAAGAGACUCUUGGCAAUUUUCUGGACUGCGGACCUACCCACCGGGAGGAUUCGCAGGCGGAAGAAGCUAAGGGAAGAGAAGCAAUAACAGGUCUGUGAUGCCCUUAGACAUCUUGGGCUGCACGCGUGCUACAAUAUCUAUUUUCAAGAGUACAUCAACAGUCAAUAGGAGACAGUAGGCUCUCGCGAGCUUAGUGUUUCGACUAGGGCUGAACACCUUUUCCGAAAGGAGUGGGAAAACUCGUAAGAUAGAUGUAACAGGGAUUAAUGAUUGGAAUUAUUUGUUAUGGAACGAGGAAUUCCUUGUAAAAUUUUGUCACUAACGAAAGUUGAAUACGUCCCUGCCCUUUGUACACACCGCCCGUCGCUCCUACCGAUUGAAUAAAAAGAUGAAGGUUUAGGAGGAAUCAUCACACGAUGAGCCGAAUGGAUCUGAAUCUCUUUAUUUAGAGG
RNAcentral lists this ribosomal RNA (1844 nucleotides) under uncultured Entamoeba. RNAcentral's name for it is "bacterial SSU rRNA". It matches the Rfam family "Eukaryotic small subunit ribosomal RNA". The record is from RNAcentral. Lineage: Eukaryota; Evosea; Mastigamoebida; Endamoebidae.